This is a long non-coding RNA of Notolabrus celidotus (New Zealand spotty), 227 nucleotides long. RefSeq lists it as uncharacterized. The record is from RefSeq and is a predicted model, not a curated record. The transcript has 3 exons. NCBI's taxonomy places the organism in Eukaryota, Metazoa, Chordata, Actinopteri, Labriformes, Labridae.
GGACUGGUUGACAUAUUUCACCACCCUGUGCAGAAAUCCUCCAACUGCAAGCUUUUAAAAGAAAUCCUGCAAGACAUGAGGUGCUUUGCAGACCUUUGAAGGAAUGUUUCCCCUACAGGUACAGAGCAGCCAUGGAUGCACACAACAUCAACACUGCACCCACAAUAAGAGCAACGGCCCCACAUCUCAGGAGGCGACUGACUGCAGCAGAGGUCGGCGUGCUGGAC